RNAcentral lists this transfer RNA (72 nucleotides) under Cavia porcellus (domestic guinea pig). It matches the Rfam family "tRNA". Rfam says of the family: Transfer RNA (tRNA) molecules are approximately 80 nucleotides in length. The record is from Rfam by way of RNAcentral. Lineage: Eukaryota; Metazoa; Chordata; Mammalia; Rodentia; Caviidae.
GGGGAUGUAGCUCAGGGGCAGAACAUUUGCCUGGUGUGCACAAGGCCUUAGGUUCAAUCCCUAACACUGUCC